Molecule: long non-coding RNA, 1488 nt
Filed under: Numida meleagris (helmeted guineafowl)
Lineage: Eukaryota; Metazoa; Chordata; Aves; Galliformes; Numididae
Description: lncRNA (ENSNMEG00000000762.1)
Source: RNAcentral
AUUUGAAAAGCUGGAGCCAGAGCUACAUCAGCUGGGCUGAUGGUCGUCAGCACAACCCCUGACAGCAAGUGCUGUUGCUGGUCCAACAAGGCACCCAUUUUUUCUUGUAUAAGAGCAGUGAGAGGCAUUUUCUAGGAUGAAUCCCUACACAAGGACAACCCUGGUAACCAGUCAGGCUUGGAAUAAGAGAAUAACGUGGUUUUGGUCAAGUAGACAGAUGAGGAAAUGUGUUUGAAAGGAGAAGGCUUGGGGUCAGCCCACAGCAGCAAAGCUUUUUCCAACAUUAAAACUUAAGGACAAGUUUGGGCAGAAAUAUUCCAGUGAGGUCAUUUACUCCAGGUUCUCUGUAUCUCUUUUAGAUGAGAAACUCACAAGAGUUUUCCUAUUACACUUUUUAAAUCCUGCAGGUGAGUAAAACCUAUGUACCUCACUGCUCAAACCUACAGUUACAGCAUUCCUGUUCUCCAGAUGUAUCUUCCUAUUUCUGUGGGCUUCAGAGAGUCACUCAAGGCAGAGCACCAGUCCUACCUUUCAGAAUGGUAUUGUGCCUUGGAUUUGUGGUUUUCUGCAGUCAUUUGAGCGAUGAAAGGUGUCGCAUCCCUUCAACCCCAGAAUUAAGCAGCAAUCUAAGUGCUAAACUGCACAGAAAUUACUGAUUCAGCUCUGAGGAACUACCUUUCUGUAAGAGCCAUGGCAGAAGGGCAAGAUGAGCUCCUGAAGGAGCAACAGGUGUUGUUACGAGAACACGGCUGCAGGUGGAGGCUUCUGCUACAGAACUCAGCCUCGCACCGCCUGCAUUGAGGAACUUGUGAACCCCUCCCACCUGCCAGGCACAGAUGAAAGCCCUGACCCAGAACAAUUUCCUUCCUGUGUGAGCAGCAUGGCUGUGCAGACGUGUCUGUUGUAGAGCUCUGUCAGAAAAGAGUUAACUCUGCACGUAGCGAAGUUAACACUCUGUGAGAACUGCUGCAGCACUCCCAAGGCCAGCAAGCAUGCACAGGAGCCCCAAACAGAGAAGAAGGAUCAAAAUGAGAACUCCGGAGCUUGUGGUUUGCUGCUUUGACUAUUCAAAUAAGCCUAAAUUUUUUAAAUUCACUAAAGGGAGGCACCUUCGGCAGAGGCAUUUAAGCAUUUCAUUCUGAAGGCUGCAUUUCUGAGCCCCGGGAUCUAUAACACAAGUGCUCAGACCCCCAGAAAGUAAAAGGGUGUUUACAUCUCUGGCCCAGGCUCUCCAGCCUGAGCCCACAGGAACUGAGCCCUGUGCUGUCACAGCACUACACAAAAUCUGGUUCAAGAGGGAACAUUUGGCAGCCAUCUGAAAGCACUGUCCUCUAGCCCUUCUCUAUUAUGGCUGGUUUUACAACUACUGUGUCUUUUCACGGCUGAGCUGCUCCUUCUCUGACUUGUGUUUUAUUGCUCUGGGAAUAUUUGAGGAUUGAUGCAUUUAGUCAGUGAAUCAUCUGGGGUUUCUGUUCCUCUGGAGGAAAG